UGACGGUUCCCUGUCUCUGAAAGACCUU
This 28-nucleotide non-coding RNA is filed under the name Homo sapiens (human). The record is from RNAcentral. Lineage: Eukaryota; Metazoa; Chordata; Mammalia; Primates; Hominidae.